RNAcentral lists this transfer RNA (86 nucleotides) under Deltaproteobacteria bacterium. RNAcentral's name for it is "tRNA-Ser". It matches the Rfam family "tRNA". Rfam says of the family: Transfer RNA (tRNA) molecules are approximately 80 nucleotides in length. Their secondary structure includes four short double-helical elements and three loops (D, anti-codon, and T loops). RNAcentral also lists the same sequence under 1 other name. The record is from RNAcentral. Lineage: Bacteria; Pseudomonadati; Myxococcota; Myxococcia.
GGAGGGAUGGCCGAGUGGCUUAAGGCGGCGGUCUUGAAAACCGCUGGACGAAAGUCCCGUGGGUUCGAAUCCUACUCCCUCCGCCA